CAGUGGUGGAGUUGUGGGUAUCCUUGAGCCUCCUGCAGAACAACGUCAUUUGUCUUCUUGCUUUUUAAAGUUUCCAUCAACUCUGGACCUUAUGAAGCUGACAAACGCAUGCAGCCGGAUGAUGGGUAGGAACUAGUGCUCCACAGUGACAAAUCCUCCUGUCCCUGAGAACUGUUUAAUCUCAUUACCUCACACAGACGAGUUCCUCAAGGGAGAAGAUUGAAUGGAUUAUUUCCUGGAGCUAUGUGGGUAUGAUUCUGCCACUAGCAAAAGGUGGAAAUGUGGAAAUGUUGAGCCAACCAGAUUCAAGGCAGUGCUGGUUUCACAAGAUCAGAACACACUUUCUGAUGUUUCUGGCUUCUAUGACACCUUAUCCUGCAGGUUGACUCAUGCUAGCCUCGUGGUGCCAUGUUUUUGUCACUUGUGUGAAGAGGUGUUUGAGGGAAGCCAUGAUGAGGCAUUCACUCUG
This 469-nucleotide long non-coding RNA is filed under the name Heterocephalus glaber (naked mole-rat). RNAcentral's name for it is "lncRNA (ENSHGLG00100040204.1)". Lineage: Eukaryota; Metazoa; Chordata; Mammalia; Rodentia; Bathyergidae. The record is from RNAcentral.